CACAGAGUUAGCCGGUGCUUGUUCUCCCGGUACCGUCACACACCUCGAAAGGCGUCGUUCGUCCCGGGCCAAAGGGUUUACAACCCGAAGGCCUUCCUCCCCCACGCGGCGUCGCUGCGUCAGGCUUUCGCCCAUUGCGCAAGAUUCCCCACUGCUGCCUCCCGUAGGAGUCUGGGCCGUCUCUCAGUCCCAAUGUGGCUGGCCAUCCUCUCAGACCAGCUACCCGUCAUCGCCUUGGGAAGCCAUUACCCCCCAACUAGCUGAUAGGCCGCGAGCCCCUCCCAGAACCGCGCUUGCACGCGUUUCGCCUCGCCCCCCAACGGGGCAGGCCGUAUGCGGUAUUACCCGGCCGUUGGGCCGGCUAUCCCCCACUCCAGGGCAGGUCGCUCACGUGUUCCGCACCCGUUCGCCGGUGACUGGUUGCCCAGCCCCCUGACUUGCAUGUGUUAAGCACGCCGCCAGCGUUCGUCCUGAGCCAGGAUCAAACUCU
This 490-nucleotide ribosomal RNA is filed under the name uncultured Gemmatimonas sp. RNAcentral describes it as "partial 16S ribosomal RNA". Lineage: Bacteria; Pseudomonadati; Gemmatimonadota; Gemmatimonadia; Gemmatimonadales; Gemmatimonadaceae. The record is from RNAcentral.